GACGAACGCUGUCGGCGCGCCUAACACAUGCAAGUCGAACGAGCGAGAGAGAGCUUGCUUUCUUGAGCGAGUGGCGAACGGGUGAGUAACGCGUGAGGAACCUGCCUCAAAGAGGGGGACAACAGUUGGAGACGACUGCUAAUACCGCAUAAGCCCACGACCCGGCAUCGGGUUGAGGGAAAAGGAGCAAUCCGCUUUGAGAUGGCCUCGCGUCCGAUUAGCUAGUUGGUGAGGUAACGGCCCACCAAGGCGACGAUCGGUAGCCGGACUGAGAGGUUGAACGGCCACAUUGGGACUGAGACACGGCCCAGACUCCUACGGGAGGCAGCAGUGGGGAAUAUUGCACAAUGGGGGAAACCCUGAUGCAGCGACGCCGCGUGGAGGAAGAAGGUCUUCGGAUUGUAAACUCCUGUUGUGGAGGAAGAUAAUGACGGUACUCAACAAGGAAGUGACGGCUAACUACGUG
RNAcentral lists this ribosomal RNA (466 nucleotides) under uncultured bacterium. Its description in RNAcentral is "partial 16S ribosomal RNA". It matches the Rfam family "Bacterial small subunit ribosomal RNA", at positions 28 to 507 of the family's 1533-position model. The record is from RNAcentral.